UGAAAAAUUCGCUGCAAACUACUUAAGCUAGUAACAAAAUGUAUUAAACAUAUGAUUAUCGUAUUUAGUGGAAUGAUAUGUUUUUCUUUAUAUAUAACAUUGCACUUUGUUACAUAUUAAUUGUAAGCUGCCCCAGGGGUAUGUUGCUGGAAAUAAGCAAAAAGAAGCUAAUCUGAAUAAAUAAGUAGAUAUUUGCGAAAUAAAAAUCUUCAGUGAUACAUUUUGCCUCGAGCAGUAUUAGGCUAGUUUACAGUUCUGUUUACAAUAGAUUACGAAAUUAAUGCUAGUAUCUGGCUACCAACUUUCACUACAGAGUUGGCCAACUCGCCGAUCUCACAGCUUCUACGACUCUCCAGUUGCUAGUCUGAGCACUCUUACAACUCAAUUCUCGUCGUAUACAACUCCUACAACCGAUUAGUUGUUAAUCUGAGCGCACUCGUCGUAAGUCAGGAGUGGGGGAAAUUACAACGCUACUGUCGAGUUGCCCAACUCCGUCGUGACAGCUGAUAGUCUGACCCUAGCAUUACUUGUCACCAUCGUGGGGCGUGCUACAGGAAAAUUACAAAAUGAUAAAAAAGGUGUCAUAUUAAACUGUUCCAUAGUAAAGAUAAAUUAAGCAACGAUUCGUGGUUUUUUACUUCGUAGUUCUAGACUAUUACGUCAUGAAAUAAUGAAAUAUUAAUAUAAUUAAAUAUAAUUUCUGAAUUCCAGUAUGAAAUUUUACUACAGUAAAUGGAAAAAUACACUUCCAUUAAAACGCGAAACUUAUGUAUAAAAGUAAGGGAUUUAAUUUUUUUUUUUAAAUGCGUUUUAAAUAGUAUACUGAACACUAUUUAAAAAAACCGACCAAAAAAACCCCCCAAAACCCCCAACAAAAAAAAACCAUUGAAAAAAUUAUCGAACUACCAAAACAGCAAGCAGUAACCACAGAGGCAGGUUUAGAUACAGUGAAACCUCUCAAAACUGGACCCUCUGUAAACCGGAAUUCCCAUCAAACCGGACAUUUGUCACGGUCCUUUAAAAAAAAUUGAUACAUAAUUUAACCUAUCUUAACCGGAUACAUCUUAAUACCGGAUAUUUUACUUGGUCCCGAGGAUGUCCGGUUUAGAGGGGUUUCACUGUAUAUUAUUGUACUAUGUUAUUUAGAGUGAGUCUGAACAUCUAGAUUUUUUACAUAUAUAAAAAAAUAAUAAAAAAGAAAGAAAGAAAGGGGAAAAAAAGACUAAACUAAAUAAUAAAUUAAUUCACAAUACACUGCGUAGGAAAUACGCCUGUCUUAAACAAAACUGUCUCUAACGUCACAAUCACGUCACGUGUUGGUAAGCUGUCUUGACUAUAGCUGACGUCACAAUAUAUCACGAUGGUAACUAUCACGGCUGUCGUUGACGUUACAAUAAUGUUGCAACUGUUUCUGACGUAUGAAGAAUGCAUGUAUACGUAUAGCUUUCCCAUAAAACUUUUAUACAUAAUAAACAUGAGAAUGUUUACGCGACAGCAGUAAUUUAAACUGACUGGAAGCCGUUAAAAUAUAAAUGCAGUGAAGGAAAUUUGACGAAGUAUCGCAUGCGCGCAUAUCUGCAUUAUACAAGAUAUCAGGAAGCAACACUGAAAUUCCCCAUGGUUCCAUUUACCCUGUACCCCAGCAAGGACGGAUCUAGGAUAUCCCAAGAGAGGGCGUCGAGCAUUCAACCCUUGACAUACACCAUAGAAAGAUAUUUCAACCCGAUAAAAAAGUGCCCUGGGGGCAUCGAAAAUAUUGCUCUACAUCUUAGCCUAUGAUGCUCUCCCCCUCCUUCCAAAAAAGUCAUCAGACACGCUUGCUGUAUACUUGCACAUAUGGGCGCUGAUCACAAACACACGCCAGACACCACAAUGAUCUAUGGCUGGGUCAAUAAGUGGAGUGAGGACCGGACUCUUUCAUGUUCUCCCUAGAUCCGCCCUGCUCUAAUACAAAUCAUCUAUUCUGAAACCAUUCUUCACUGGGGUUAAGCUGGACCAGGAAUUCACAGAGCUGUACGGAAUGUUACCAACAUAAUACAAUAGUUAAACUGGGUUUUUCACUGUCUACAGUUUCAAGAACACGGAUAAUUGACUGAAUAGUCCACUUGUUUCAACAUUUGUUUCAGCGUUUUCGUUUACUGGAAUACAAUAAUUGUUUUAAUGUUUGUUCCCCAUCUACAAGUGCUUCAUUGUUUAGUUCACUAAAUUACACUCGUUUCAGUGUUGAUGUUUCUGAAAUACAAUUCCACUGAGGUUUCAUACACAUUAUCAACUAAAUUCCAUGACAGUUUUCUUCUUCAGAAUUUCAAAGCUUUCUCAACAACCAUUAACAUAAUAUUGAAACGUUUUCAUGUGAAUUACAGCUAUUCUUGUGUUACUGUAAAUUGGAAAAAUGACCUUUCUUCCAGAAUUGUGCAAAUUCCACGGCUUUACAAGAUUUCUGCGUUCCUGACAAUGAAGUACCAGUGUGUUAUCGACAAGUAUUAAUUACACAUUUUCCAGAAUUUUCCAUGAUCCACCUAAAAAUUGCAUGACAUUCCAGGCCUGCAUGGCAAUGGCAAAUUCCACGACUUUCCAUGAUGUCUUCGACACCUUUGUUAAGUACACUCGUUUUAGUAUUUACUUCACUGAAUUACACUCGUAUCUUCCAGGAUUUUCCAGGAUUUUCUAUGAUCCGUAUGAACCAUGUCAAUGAAGUACCAAUGUGUCAUGGACACCCUUUGUUGAAUACACUCUUUACAAAUUACUCGUAUCUUCUACGAUUUUCCAGGAUUUUCUAUGAUCCAUGUCAAUGAAGUACCAAGGUGUCAUGGACACCAUUUGUUAAAUACACUCUUUACAGAA
RNAcentral lists this long non-coding RNA (2844 nucleotides) under Gigantopelta aegis. Its description in RNAcentral is "uncharacterized LOC121386170". Lineage: Eukaryota; Metazoa; Mollusca; Gastropoda; Neomphalida; Peltospiridae. The record is from RNAcentral.